CCUCGGGGGCUGCAGUAGGGAAUCUUCCGCAAUGGACGAAAGUCUGACGGAGCAACGCCGCGUGAGCGAAGAAGGUCUUCGGAUCGUAAAGCUCUGUUGUUAGGGAAGAACAAGUACCGUUCGAAUAGGGCGGUACCGUGACGGUACCUAACCAGAAAGCCACGGCUAACUACGUGCCAGCAGCCGCGGUAAUACGUAGGUGGCAAGCGUUGUCCGGAAUUAUUGGGCGUAAAGCGCGCGCAGGCGGCUUCUUAAGUCUGAUGUGAAAGCCCGCAGCUCAACUGCGGAGGGUCAUUGGAAACUGGGAAGCUUGAGUGCAGAAGAGGAGAGUGGAAUUCCACGUGUAGCGGUGAAAUGCGUAGAGAUGUGGAGGAACACCAGUGGCGAAGGCGGCUCUCUGGUCUGUAACUGACGCUGAGGCGCGAAAGCGUGGGGAGCAAACA
This 443-nucleotide ribosomal RNA is filed under the name uncultured Actinoallomurus sp. RNAcentral describes it as "bacterial SSU rRNA". It matches the Rfam family "Bacterial small subunit ribosomal RNA", at positions 338 to 774 of the family's 1533-position model. The record is from RNAcentral. Lineage: Bacteria; Bacillati; Actinomycetota; Actinomycetes; Streptosporangiales; Thermomonosporaceae.